This 466-nucleotide ribosomal RNA is filed under the name Vreelandella stevensii. RNAcentral describes it as "partial 16S ribosomal RNA". It matches the Rfam family "Bacterial small subunit ribosomal RNA", at positions 338 to 795 of the family's 1533-position model. Lineage: Bacteria; Pseudomonadati; Pseudomonadota; Gammaproteobacteria; Oceanospirillales; Halomonadaceae. The record is from RNAcentral.
CCUACGGGUGGCAGCAGUGGGGAAUAUUGGACAAUGGGCGAAAGCCUGAUCCAGCCAUGCCGCGUGUGUGAAGAAGGCCUUCGGGUUGUAAAGCACUUUCAGUGGGGAAGAAAGCCUUGGGGCUAAUACCCUCGAGGAAGGACAUCACCCACAGAAGAAGCACCGGCUAACUCCGUGCCAGCAGCCGCGGUAAUACGGAGGGUGCGAGCGUUAAUCGGAAUUACUGGGCGUAAAGCGCGCGUAGGCGGUCUGAUAAGCCGGUUUGUGAAAGCCCCGGGCUCAACCUGGGAACGGCAUCCGGAACUGUCAGGCUAGAGUGCAGGAGAGGAAGGUAGAAUUCCCGGUGUAGCGGUGAAAUGCGUAGAGAUCGGGAGGAAUACCAGUGGCGAAGGCGGCCUUCUGGACUGACACUGACGCUGAGGUGCGAAAGCGUGGGUAGCAAACAGGAUUAGAUACCCUUGUAGUC